Molecule: ribosomal RNA, 468 nt
Filed under: uncultured bacterium
Lineage: Bacteria
Description: partial 16S ribosomal RNA
Rfam family: Bacterial small subunit ribosomal RNA
Source: RNAcentral
GACGAACGCUGGCGGCGUGCUUAACACAUGCAAGUCGAACGGAAAGGCCCUGCUUUUGUGGGGUGCUCGAGUGGCGAACGGGUGAGUAACACGUGAGUAGCCUGCCCUUUACUUUGGGAUAACUUCAGGAAACUGGGGCUAAUACCGCAUAGGAGCUCCUGCUGCAUGGUGGGGGUUGGAAAGUUUCGGCGGUUGGGGAUGGACUCGCGGCUUAUCAGCUUGUUGGUGGGGUAGUGGCUUACCAAGGCUCUGACGGGUAGCCGGCCUGAGAGGGUGACCGGCCACAUUGGGACUGAGAUACGGCCCAGACUCCUACGGGAGGCAGCAGUGGGGAAUAUUGCACAAUGGGCGGAAGCCUGAUGCAGCAACGCCGCGUGCGGGAUGACGGCCUUCGGGGUGUAAACCGCUUUCGCCUGUGACGAAGCGUGAGUGACGGUAAUGGGUAAAGAAGCACCGGCUAACUACGUG